GACGAACGCUGGCGGCGUGCUUAACACAUGCAAGUCGAGCGAUGAAGCACCUUCGGGUGUGAAUUAGCGGCGAACGGGUGAGGAACACGUGAAGAAUCUGCCUUCAACUCUGGGGUAACUCCGGGAAACCGGGGCUAAUACCGGAUAUGAGCCUUGAUCGCAUGAUCGGGGCUGGAAAGUUUUUCGGUUGAAGAUGACUUCGCGGCCUAUCAGCUUGUUGGUGAGGUAAUGGCUCACCAAGGCGACGACGGGUAGCCGGCCUGAGAGGGCGACCGGCCACACUGGGACUGAGACACGGCCCAGACUCCUACGGGAGGCAGCAGUGGGGAAUAUUGGGCAAUGGAGGAAACUCUGACCCAGCGACGCCGCGUGAGGGAUGAAGGCCUUCGGGUUGUAAACCUCUUUCAGCACCGACGAAGCGCAAGUGACGGUAGGUGCAGAAGAAGGACCGGCCAACUACGUGCCAGCCGCCGCCGUAA
This 479-nucleotide ribosomal RNA is filed under the name uncultured bacterium. RNAcentral's name for it is "partial 16S ribosomal RNA". It matches the Rfam family "Bacterial small subunit ribosomal RNA", at positions 28 to 523 of the family's 1533-position model. The record is from RNAcentral.